This 556-nucleotide long non-coding RNA is filed under the name Citrus maxima (pomelo). RNAcentral describes it as "long non-coding RNA (CMAX_LNC002831)". The record is from RNAcentral. Lineage: Eukaryota; Viridiplantae; Streptophyta; Magnoliopsida; Sapindales; Rutaceae.
CCUAAACCACCUUAUUCCCCAAGCCCUAAACCGCCUUACGUGCCAAAACCACCUCAUACUCCAGUCCCUAGGCCACCAUAUUUCCCCAAACCACCUUACACACCAAGGCCUAAGCCACCAUAUGCGCCAAAACCACCUUAUACGCCAACCCCUAAGCCACCAUAUUUCCCCAAACCACCUUACACACCAAGGCCGAAGCCACCAUAUGUGCCAAAACCACCUUAUACGCCAGCCCCUAAGCCACCAUAUUUUCCCAAACCACCUUACACACCAAGGCCUAAGCCACCAUAUGCACCAAAACCACCUUAUACGCCAACACCUAAGCCACCAUAUUUCCCCAAACCACCUUACACACCAAGGCCUAAGCCACCGUACGUGCCAAAACCACCGUACACACCAAGGCCUAAGCCACCGUACGUGCCAAAACCACCAUACACACCAACCCCUAAGCCACCGUACGUGCCAAAACCACCUUACACCCCAACCCCUAAGCCACCGUACGUGCCAAAACCACCGUAUACCCCAACUCCUAAGCCACCGUACGUCCCAUCGCCAC